RNAcentral lists this long non-coding RNA (693 nucleotides) under Canis lupus familiaris (dog). RNAcentral describes it as "lncRNA (ENSCAFG00030001574.1)". Lineage: Eukaryota; Metazoa; Chordata; Mammalia; Carnivora; Canidae. The record is from RNAcentral.
GGGCCGAUGGAAGGAUGCAUACCAACAAGGUGUUACAUCCAGAGGUGGCUCUUUGCUAUCUAAAUUGGACUUAACCGAACCUGGAAGCACAAUGUCUGAUGAACAUUCUUCUCCCACUCCCUAGAUUUUUGGUGUUUGCUCUCUGGCCCCCCAGAAAGAGAGAACAUAGUAGCUUAAAGAAACAGAUGGCACAGACAAGAAUUUGUGUUCGAAUCUCGGAGGAGAAAGUCUGUAUGUAGCAUGGAUUUAAGAAGAAACGAAAAAUCAAAAGCUUUCCUAAAACCUCACUGGAAUCAACUCAUUUGGCAUGAGUGGAUUUCCAUGGAAACUGGAAAAAGGGCUGAGUUUGGGCUGAUGCAGCAUGACCAAAGAGCUAGAGGCAGAAGAGAACAUGGUGACAAGAUUUCCCACUCUGGAAUAUUAGGAAGAGGUUUGGACUUCCAUAGACCAUGGAAUUAGGUGUUUAUCCAAGUUAGAAUAAGUCUCCAGGGAGCAAGGAGCUUCCCAGAUCACAUCUAGGCUGCAAAUGAAUGCUUUGUUUCUUUCAUAUAUUUUAAUUUCUAAUAAAUUACUUUGAAAUGGAGUGCGAAAGUGUAAGUUUUACUUGCCCUAUUUUAAAAUCAUAUCCCUGAGUGUUUCUUCCAAAUUUAGAUAAUAGCAAUGAUAGCAAAUAUUUAUUGUGACUCACAAUGA